This 1457-nucleotide ribosomal RNA is filed under the name Synechococcus sp. BO 8805. RNAcentral's name for it is "bacterial SSU rRNA". It matches the Rfam family "Bacterial small subunit ribosomal RNA". The record is from RNAcentral. Lineage: Bacteria; Bacillati; Cyanobacteriota; Cyanophyceae; Synechococcales; Synechococcaceae.
AUGAACGCUGGCGGCGUGCUUAACACAUGCAAGUCGAACGAGCCUUCGGGCUAGUGGCGGACGGGUGAGUAACGCGUGGGAAUCUGCCCUCAGGAGGGGGAUAACGGCCGGAAACGGCCGCUAAUACCCCAUAUGCCGAGAGGUGAAACGAAUUUCGCCUGGGGAUGAGCCCGCGUCUGAUUAGCUAGUUGGUGAGGUAAUGGCUCACCAAGGCUUCGAUCAGUAGCUGGUCUGAGAGGAUGAUCAGCCACACUGGGACUGAGACACGGCCCAGACUCCUACGGGAGGCAGCAGUGGGGAAUUUUCCGCAAUGGGCGCAAGCCUGACGGAGCAACGCCGCGUGAGGGACGAAGGCCUCUGGGCUGUAAACCUCUUUUCUCAAGGAAGAAGACAUGACGGUACUUGAGGAAUAAGCCACGGCUAAUUCCGUGCCAGCAGCCGCGGUAAUACGGGAGUGGCAAGCGUUAUCCGGAAUUAUUGGGCGUAAAGCGUCCGCAGGCGGCCUUGUAAGUCUGUUGUUAAAGCGUGGAGCUCAACUCCAUUUAAGCAAUGGAAACUACAAGGCUAGAGUGUGGUAGGGGCAGAGGGAAUUCCCGGUGUAGCGGUGAAAUGCGUAGAUAUCGGGAAGAACACCAGUGGCGAAGGCGCUCUGCUGGGCCAUAACUGACGCUCAUGGACGAAAGCCAGGGGAGCGAAAGGGAUUAGAUACCCCUGUAGUCCUGGCCGUAAACGAUGAACACUAGGUGUCGGGAGAAUUAACCCUUCCGGUGUCGUAGCCAACGCGUUAAGUGUUCCGCCUGGGGAGUACGCACGCAAGUGUGAAACUCAAAGGAAUUGACGGGGGCCCGCACAAGCGGUGGAGUAUGUGGUUUAAUUCGAUGCAACGCGAAGAACCUUACCAGGGUUUGACAUCCUGCGAAUCCCUUGGAAACGAGGGAGUGCCUUCGGGAACGCAGUGACAGGUGGUGCAUGGCUGUCGUCAGCUCGUGUCGUGAGAUGUUGGGUUAAGUCCCGCAACGAGCGCAACCCACGUCUUUAGUUGCCAGCAUUCAGUUGGGCACUCUAGAGAGACCGCCGGUGAUAAACCGGAGGAAGGUGUGGAUGACGUCAAGUCAUCAUGCCCCUUACAUCCUGGGCUACACACGUACUACAAUGCUACGGACAAAGGGCAGCAAACUCGCGAGAGCUAGCAAAUCCCAUAAACCGUGGCUCAGUUCAGAUCGUAGGCUGCAACUCGCCUACGUGAAGGAGGAAUCGCUAGUAAUCGCAGGUCAGCAUACUGCGGUGAAUACGUUCCCGGGCCUUGUACACACCGCCCGUCACACCAUGGAAGUUGGCCAUGCCCGAAGUCGUUACUCCAACCCGCAAGGGAGGAGGACGCCGAAGGUGGGGCUGAUGACUGGGGUGAAGUCGUAACAAGGUAGCCGUACCGGAAGGUGCGGCUGGAUCACCUCCUA